This 635-nucleotide long non-coding RNA is filed under the name Homo sapiens (human). RNAcentral's name for it is "HSALNT0033051". The record is from RNAcentral. Lineage: Eukaryota; Metazoa; Chordata; Mammalia; Primates; Hominidae.
CUGCUACUUCUUGCUGUCUCUAGGUCUCCAUCUCCCCACACGCACCUCCUUCUCCCUCGCCCCACGCGUCUGGCUCUCCCAUCUCCCCUGAACCCCUCUUUUUCAUCGCAGUUCUUCACUGUCAGGUGUUUCCCCCCGACUCUGGCCAAACAGAUCAAAGGAAGUUCUGCAUAAAAGGAGGGAGACCCUGAGGAGAGGGCGGCCGAGAGGGAGAGGGAAGGAAUCACGGCGCCACUCCUGCGGAAAUUCAUAUUCCGUGUAUGUUCCUCCGUCACCUGAAAUAAAUCCUGCCGGCCUACCCACACAGACCCAGCAGCACUUAUUUAUUUGCAUGUCAUGCUUAUAAUAUGGUAGAAAGCAAGACGGAUCUUCGAGGAGGGGAGGGGAUGAGGCUCACCCUUCAGGCUCACUCUCUUAAAUAAAAAAGAAUUGACCGGCUGGGCGCAUAAGAAUUUAUCUUGAGUUUGUGGUCAUUAUCUCUAUUAUAUAGCCCCGGCAAUAAAUAAAUCGGGUAGUUACUACCCAACAAUAAAACUGUAGUGUAUGGGACACCUUACUAUUACUUUCUUAAUAAUCUGCCGUUUCUUUCACUUUAAAUCUUCCCAGUCAUGUCUUCACACUCGUCUACAAGGAUC